Molecule: small RNA, 481 nt
Filed under: Pongo abelii (Sumatran orangutan)
Lineage: Eukaryota; Metazoa; Chordata; Mammalia; Primates; Hominidae
Description: processed transcript
Source: RNAcentral
UUGGGAUAAUCCAAUGGUUGUGUGCAGAGAGAAUAGCGACACAAGUGUCUUCCGGCUUUUACCACCUUGUGAAUUCUAUGUAUUUAUUAUUCCCUUUGAAAUGGAAGGGGACACGACAGAGAUACCCGGGGGUCUUCCAUCUGUAUAUCAGAAAGCACUGGGUCAAAGAGAACAGAAGAUACAGAUCUGGCAGAAAACUGUGAAGGAGGCUCAUUUGACAAAGUGAGGAAACCGAAGAACUGAGGAAUUAAGUACUUUACCCAAAGUCACACAGGAGCCAGGAUUCACACCUAGUCAAUCUGGUUCCAGAGAUUCUUUUUUUCUCUGUUCUGGCUUCUUAAGAACCAGAGGUUCUUAAAUGCCUCUAGUGUCUUCACUGUUUUCUUUCAAAUAUUGUCAUACCAUAUCAUACUGUACAAUAAUAACAUUAUAAUAAUUUGUUGUAAAAAUGGAUGAUCAUGAAAAAACAUUCUUAUAAAGC